This 1887-nucleotide long non-coding RNA is filed under the name Homo sapiens (human). Its description in RNAcentral is "HSALNT0292159". The record is from RNAcentral. Lineage: Eukaryota; Metazoa; Chordata; Mammalia; Primates; Hominidae.
AAAAAAAAAAAAGUACCAUAUAUAAGCUCAAUAAAAAUCAUAUUUGAUAUAUUCAAGAAUGGUUUACUUAGAAAAGAAUAAAUUUGCUUUUAAAUGUUUGAUGGGAGUGGUGCUGAUACCUUUCCAGGAGAAUCUGAGACUACUUUUACAUGUUUGCAAGAGAAAUAUAUACAUUUAAGCUAUUCAAAAAUCUAAAAUCUAAUAAUUAGAUGGUAGAUUUUUUUAUCAUCUACUAAACAUUGCUAAAGACUGCCAAAUAACACUUAAAUGUGUUUUGACUAGCAGUGGUUUUAAAAUGCAAAGUCAUUACAAGUCUCUUCCAGACAGUGUGUAACAGCAAAGAACAUAUGAUUUCUCUAACGACUCCUUUUACAAGGAAUAUCUUGAGUAGCCCAGGUAACUUACUAAUUCAGUUUCUAACCCUCUCUCCAAAAGCAAUACAAAUCAAGAAAGAGGGUUAAACAUUUGUGGGUAAUGACUAAACAAAUCAUAUUUAGCUAUUCCUUAGCUAUUCCUUUUUCCAGUUCCCACUGUCAUUGUCCUAAAUCUUUACUAUACUCCUUGCGUCCUGACUGUAUCCUCAUUUUUAACAUUGACCUUGCUUCCCAUCCCUACACCAUUUAAGCAUAUUCCUAUUUUAGAAACUGUUCCCCUCCAUUCCACAUUCCAUGUCCUCUUUGCCCUUUCUACAAUGAAACAUCUUGAAUAACCUCCAUUCGCUUCAUAUAUUUCCUGCCUCCUCUUUACUCUUCAAGCCACUCCAACCUGCAUUCCAUACCUACCACUCCAUGGAAACUGCUCUGCCUAAGAACAUCAAUGAUGUUCAUCAAUCCAAUGGAUAUGCUUUAGAUCUCAUCUAUUUAAUCCUUUCAGCAGUAUUCAAGCCAAUUUACUACUUCCACCUUGCCAUCCAUGACUGCCACAUUCUUCUAGUUUUUCUCUUACAUCUCUGGCAUCCCUUUUCACUCUCCUGUGCAAGCUUUUUUCCUCUGCCAAUCCCUUAAAUUGUGAUUGUGGUGGUUUAAAAUUUGUCCACAAAUUCUUUUCAAAAGAUAAAGCCUAAUUUCCCUCCUCAUGUCUGAAAUUCCCAUCCCCAGGAGCAUGAGUGGAAUUUAAUGGCUUGUCUCUAAUGAACAGAAUAAGGCAGAAGUGGUGGUCUCUGACUAGGUCAUAAAAGGGAUUGAGGCUUCCUCUUUGCUCUCACUUGGAUCACAGCCAGCUGCUCUGUCAUGAUGACACUUAAGCAGCUCAAUGGAGAGGCUACCUGGUGAGGAAUGAGGCCACCUUCCAACAGCCAGCAAGGAACUGCCACUUUCUGACAACAGCCAUGUGAGUCAUCGUGGAAGCUGAUCUUCCUGCUCCAGUCAAGCCUUUCAGAUGACUGCAGCACUGGCUAAUAUAUUGACUACAACUUCAUAAGAGACCCUGAGCCAGAACUCAAAGUUCUGACCCACGAAAACUAUGAGGCAUUCUUCUAGACAUUGGGGAUACAACAGAGCCUUCAUGACAGUGUCCCCUUGGAGACCCACAUCUCAGCUACCUCGGGCUUUAAACAUUUUACAAACACCCUCCUUCACAGAUGGAAGUGACCUUUCAUUCUUUACAGCCCCAUCUACACCCUGAACAAACAUGUAACAGUGUCUGGGACAACCUAUUGCAUCUACUCAUUGAGUGCCUGGUUCUCCUAUCUCUUGGGUUCUUUGAGGACUCAGUCAUAUGUGCAUCCACAAGCUUAGCACAGUGCCUCACGUAGACAACAUGGAACACAAAGCCGCAGGCAAUCUGCUUAGCAGCAGCAGGCAAUCUGAAUAAAAGGGUCAGGGAAGGCUAGGGAAGCUGGAUUGCCAGAAACCAUUUUUACUUACGCUUUGUACUUAUUUGGGUUGG